This 432-nucleotide ribosomal RNA is filed under the name uncultured bacterium. Its description in RNAcentral is "bacterial SSU rRNA". It matches the Rfam family "Bacterial small subunit ribosomal RNA", at positions 32 to 507 of the family's 1533-position model. The record is from RNAcentral.
AACGACGCUGGCGGCAUGCCUAACACAUGCAAGUCGAACGAGACCUUCGGGUCUAGUGGCGCACGGGUGCGUAACGCGUGGGAAUCUGCCCUUGGGUUCGGAAUAACUCAGAGAAAUUUGAGCUAAUACCGGAUGAUGACGUAAGUCCAAAGAUUUAUCGCCCAAGGAUGAGCCCGCGUAAGAUUAGCUUGUUGGUAGGGUAAUGGCCUACCAAGGCGACGAUCUUUAGCUGGUCUGAGAGGAUGAUCAGCCACACUGGGACUGAGACACGGCCCAGACUCCUACGGGAGGCAGCAGUAGGGAAUAUUGGACAAUGGGGGCAACCCUGAUCCAGCAAUGCCGCGUGAGUGAUGAAGGCCUUAGGGUUGUAAGGCUCUUUUACCCGAGAUGAUAAUGACAGUAUCGGGAGAAUAAGCUCCGGCUAACUCCGUG